AUGUCAUUGAGUGGAAUAUCUGUAGAUGUCAAAAUAACUUUUUUUUCGGUGAUGGUUUUACAUGAUACAAAUCAAAUAAAUAAAAGUAAUCAUUCGUGCUACAUGCAGCAUUGAUGUGAUAAAAAAUGUCAAAAAUUAGCACAGAAGAGAAGUCACCGCUGUUGUAUGUCUUAGAAGAAAGAGAUGACAAUUCGAAAAG
Leptinotarsa decemlineata (Colorado potato beetle) is the source of this 199-nucleotide long non-coding RNA. The record is from RefSeq and is a predicted model, not a curated record. Lineage: Eukaryota; Metazoa; Arthropoda; Insecta; Coleoptera; Chrysomelidae.